Molecule: long non-coding RNA, 596 nt
Filed under: Elaeis guineensis (African oil palm)
Lineage: Eukaryota; Viridiplantae; Streptophyta; Magnoliopsida; Arecales; Arecaceae
Description: long non-coding RNA (EGUI_LNC034466)
Source: RNAcentral
CCCAAUCGAAAACCCUCCUUGCUCUCAUCCCAGCAAUAGACGAGUUGGUCUAUAACUAUCGGCUCCUUGUACUCAGUAGGAUAUUAAGUAUAUAAUAGAAAGGCAUCUGCCGUAUCAACUCCCUAUGGAUAUUCAUCAACUACUCUGAGAUGCCCCUAAUGAACUCCAUGUAUCACUUCAAGUCGCAAUGGCAAUUAAUCAGAUAGGAGAGAGCUCUUAAUAUGGUAUAAACACCAAAUAGUUACACCCCACAAAAAUACAAUUUAGGCCCUGGAAUCCUAAACUGAAGGUUAUAUAUUUGCAUCUUAUACUCCUAUUGCUAUCAACUCAUUUUUUCCUUAGCUGUCCUACAUGACUAUACAAUUUCUACCAUUUAACAACCAAUCCUUACCAUCAAUCAAAGAUGCUAUGUGGCAAACAUGAAACACUAUAGUGAUUGUUAAUUAGAUCAUGCUCCAUAGUAAUAGAAUACUAAUAAAUCGAUGAAUCAAACUUCAUACAUCACAAUUAGUAUUGCAUAUUUUCAAUUCAUGUGCCCUAUGAUGUAUUUUAGCACAUUAGUAUGAUUUCUCUUUAUUUUGAAAUCCCCAUGCACA